Molecule: ribosomal RNA, 253 nt
Filed under: uncultured bacterium
Lineage: Bacteria
Description: partial 16S ribosomal RNA
Rfam family: Bacterial small subunit ribosomal RNA
Source: RNAcentral
UACGGAGGGUGCAAGCGUUAUCCGGAUUCACUGGGUUUAAAGGGUGCGUAGGUGGGCAGGUAAGUCAGUGGUGAAAUCUCCGGGCUUAACCCGGAAACUGCCAUUGAUACUAUCUGUCUUGAAUGCCGUGGAGGUGAGCGGAAUAUGUCAUGUAGCGGUGAAAUGCUUAGAUAUGACAUAGAACACCAAUUGCGAAGGCAGCUCACUACACGAAUAUUGACACUGAGGCACGAAAGCGUGGGGAUCAAACAGG